RNAcentral lists this ribosomal RNA (482 nucleotides) under uncultured bacterium. Its description in RNAcentral is "partial 16S ribosomal RNA". It matches the Rfam family "Bacterial small subunit ribosomal RNA", at positions 28 to 507 of the family's 1533-position model. The record is from RNAcentral.
GACGAACGCUGGCGGCGUGCUUAACACAUGCAAGUCGAACGAUGAAAAAGAGAAACGCGAACUUCGGUUCAAAUUUCACUUCGGAUUAGUGGCAGACGGGUGAGUAACGCGUGAGCAACCUACCUCUUACAAAGGGAUAGCCUCGGGAAACCGUGAUUAAUACCAUAUGACACAUUCAUAAGGCAUCUUAAGAAUGUUAAAGCUACGGCGGUAAGAGAUGGGCUCGCGUCCCAUUAGCUAGUUGGUGAGGUAACGGCCCACCAAGGCGACGAUGGGUAACCGGCCUGAGAGGGUGAACGGUCACAUUGGAACUGAGACACGGUCCAAACUCCUACGGGAGGCAGCAGUGGGGAAUAUUGCACAAUGGAGGGAACUCUGAUGCAGCGACGCCGCGUGAGCGAUGAAGGAAUUCGUUUCGUAAAGCUCUGUUCUAUGGGAAGAAAAGGACUGUACCAUAGGAGAAAGCCCCGGCUAAAUACGUG